This 734-nucleotide ribosomal RNA is filed under the name uncultured archaeon. RNAcentral describes it as "bacterial SSU rRNA". It matches the Rfam family "Archaeal small subunit ribosomal RNA", at positions 21 to 763 of the family's 1478-position model. The record is from RNAcentral.
AGGCCACUGCUAUCAGAGUUCGAUUAAGCCAUGCGAGUCGAGAGGUGUAAGACCUCGGCAUACUGCUCAGUAACACGUGGACAACCUACCCUAAGGAGGGGGAUAACCCCGGGAAACUGGGGAUAAUACCCCAUAGACUAUGGAUGCUGGAAUGCUUCGUAGUUCAAAGGUCCGCCGCCUUAGGAUGGGUCUGCGGCCGAUUAGGUUGUUGUUGGGGUAACGGCCCAACAAGCCUGUAAUCGGUACGGGUUGUGGGAGCAAGAGCCCGGAGAUGGAUUCUGAGACACGAAUCCAGGCCCUACGGGGCGCAGCAGGCGCGAAAACUUUACAAUGCGAGAAAUCGUGAUAAGGGAACUCUGAGUGCCCGUAAAAUCGGGCUGUCCAUCUGUUUAAAUAACAGGUGAAGAAAGGGCCGGGCAAGACCGGUGCCAGCCGCCGCGGUAAUACCGGCGGCUCGAGUGGUGGCCACUAUUACUGGGCUUAAAGCGUCCGUAGCUGGUCUGUUAAGUCUCUGGGGAAAUCUUCCGGCUCAACCGGAAGGCGUCUCAGGGAUACUGGCAGACUAGGGACCGGGAGAGGUGAGAGGUACUCCAGGGGUAGGAGUGAAAUCCUGUAAUCCUUGGGGGACCACCUGUGGCGAAGGCGUCUCACCAGAACGGCUCCGACAGUGAGGGACGAAAGCUGGGGGAGCAAACCGGAUUAGAUACCCGGGUAGUCCCAGCCGUAAACGAUGC